This 468-nucleotide ribosomal RNA is filed under the name uncultured bacterium. RNAcentral's name for it is "partial 16S ribosomal RNA". It matches the Rfam family "Bacterial small subunit ribosomal RNA", at positions 28 to 507 of the family's 1533-position model. The record is from RNAcentral.
GACGAACGCUGGCGGCGUGCUUAACACAUGCAAGUCGAACGGAAAGGCCCUGCUUUUGUGGGGUGCUCGAGUGGCGAACGGGUGAGUAACACGUGAGUAACCUGCCCUUGACUUUGGGAUAACUUCAGGAAACUGGGGCUAAUGCCGGAUAGGAGCUCCUGCUGCAUGGUGGGGGUUGGAAAGUUUCGGCGGUUGGGGAUGGACUCGCGGCUUAUCAGCUUGUUGGUGGGGUAGUGGCUUACCAAGGCUUUGACGGGUAGCCGGCCUGAGAGGGUGACCGGCCACAUUGGGACUGAGAUACGGCCCAGACGCCUACGGGAGGCAGCAGUGGGGAAUAUUGCACAAUGGGCGGAAGCCUGAUGCAGCAACGCCGCGUGCGGGAUGACGGCCUUCGGGUUGUAAACCGCUUUCGCCUGUGACGAAGCGUGAGUGACGGUAAUGGGUAAAGAAGCACCGGCUAACUACGUG